Molecule: ribosomal RNA, 447 nt
Filed under: uncultured bacterium
Lineage: Bacteria
Description: bacterial SSU rRNA
Rfam family: Bacterial small subunit ribosomal RNA
Source: RNAcentral
CCAGACUCCUACGGGAGGCAGCAGUGGGGAAUAUUGCACAAUGGGCGCAAGCCUGAUGCAGCGACGCCGCGUGAGCGAAGAAGUAUUUCGGUAUGUAAAGCUCUAUCAGCAGGGAAGAAAAUGACGGUACCUGACUAAGAAGCUCCGGCUAAAUACGUGCCAGCAGCCGCGGUAAUACGUAUGGAGCAAGCGUUAUCCGGAAUUACUGGGUGUAAAGGGAGCGUAGACGGCGACGCAAGUCUGAAGUGAAAUGCCAGUGCUCAACACUGGAACUGCUUUGGAAACUGUGUAGCUAGAGUGCAGGAGAGGUAAGUGGAAUUCCUAGUGUAGCGGUGAAAUGCGUAGAUAUUAGGAGGAACACCAGUGGCGAAGGCGGCUUACUGGACUGUAACUGACGUUGAGGCUCGAAGGCGUGGGGAGCAAACAGGAUUAGAUACCCUGGUAGGC